GUGGGGAAUUUUGGACAAUGGGCGCAACCCUGAUCCAGCCAUUCCGCGUGAGUGAAGAAGGCCUUCGGGUUGUAAAGCUCUUUCGGCAGGAACGAAACGGUGAGCUCUAACAUAGCUCGCUAAUGACGGUACCUGAAGAAGAAGCACCGGCUAACUACGUGCCAGCAGCCGCGGUAAUACGUAGGGUGCGAGCGUUAAUCGGAAUUACUGGGCGUAAAGCGUGCGCAGGCGGUUGUGUAAGACAGGUGUGAAAUCCCCGGGCUUAACCUGGGAACUGCGCUUGUGACUGAACGGCUAGAGUAUGGCAGAGGGGGGUGGAAUUCCACGUGUAGCAGUGAAAUGCGUAGAGAUGUGGAGGAACACCGAUGGCGAAGGCAGCCCCCUGGGCCAAUACUGACGCUCAUGCACGAAAGCGUGGGGAGCAAACAGGAUUAGAUACCCGUGUAGUCC
RNAcentral lists this ribosomal RNA (450 nucleotides) under uncultured bacterium. RNAcentral describes it as "bacterial SSU rRNA". It matches the Rfam family "Bacterial small subunit ribosomal RNA", at positions 354 to 796 of the family's 1533-position model. The record is from RNAcentral.